GCGCCCAUAGCUCAGCUGGAUAGAGUGUCUGACUACGAAUCAGAAGGUCGGGAGUUCGAAUCUCUCUGGGCGCACCA
This 77-nucleotide transfer RNA is filed under the name Alkaliphilus crotonatoxidans. Its description in RNAcentral is "tRNA-Arg". It matches the Rfam family "tRNA". Rfam says of the family: Transfer RNA (tRNA) molecules are approximately 80 nucleotides in length. Their secondary structure includes four short double-helical elements and three loops (D, anti-codon, and T loops). The record is from RNAcentral. Lineage: Bacteria; Bacillati; Bacillota; Clostridia; Peptostreptococcales; Natronincolaceae. RNAcentral also lists the same sequence under 3 other names.